This 253-nucleotide ribosomal RNA is filed under the name uncultured bacterium. RNAcentral's name for it is "partial 16S ribosomal RNA". It matches the Rfam family "Bacterial small subunit ribosomal RNA", at positions 524 to 776 of the family's 1533-position model. The record is from RNAcentral.
UACAGAGGGUGCAAGCGUUAAUCGGAAUUACUGGGCGUAAAGAGCGCGCAGGCGGUCGUUCAAGUCGCGUGUGAAAGCCCCCGGCUCAACUGGGGAGGGUCACGCGAUACUGAUCGACUCGAAGGCAGGAGAGGGUAGUGGAAUUCCCGGUGUAGCGGUGAAAUGCGCAGAUAUCGGGAAGAACACCCGUGGCGAAGGCGGCUCUCUGGGACGGUACUGACGCUGAGACGCGAAAGCGUGGGGAGCGAACAGG